This 509-nucleotide ribosomal RNA is filed under the name uncultured Glomeraceae. RNAcentral describes it as "SSU rRNA". It matches the Rfam family "Eukaryotic small subunit ribosomal RNA", at positions 569 to 1078 of the family's 1831-position model. Lineage: Eukaryota; Fungi; Glomeromycota; Glomeromycetes; Glomerales; Glomeraceae. The record is from RNAcentral.
AGCAGCCGCGGUAAUUCCAGCUCCAAUAGCGUAUAUUAAAGUUGUUGCAGUUAAAAAGCUCGUAGUUGAAUUUCGGGAUCAAUAUUUCGGUCAUGCCGUUGGUAUGCACUGUUAUCAUUGAUUUCUCACCUUCUAAAGAACCGUAAUGCCAUUAAUUUGGUGUUACGGGGAAUUAGAACUGUUACCUUGAAAAAUUAGAGUGUUUAAAGCAGGCUCACGCUUGAAUACAUUAGCAUGGAAUAAUGAAAUAGGACAUCCGAUUCUAUUUUGUUGGUUUCUAGGAUCGAUGUAAUGAUUAAUAGGGAUAGUUGGGGGCAUUAGUAUUCAAUUGUCAGAGGUGAAAUUCUUGGAUUUAUUGAAAGACUAACUACUGCGAAAGCAUUUGCCAAGGAUGUUUUCAUUAAUCAAGAACGAAAGUUAGGGGAUCGAAGACGAUCAGAUACCGUCGUAGUCUUAACCGUAAACUAUGCCGACUAGGGAUCGGAUGAUGUUAAUUUUUAAUGUACUCA